This 675-nucleotide ribosomal RNA is filed under the name uncultured Lachnospiraceae bacterium. RNAcentral's name for it is "bacterial SSU rRNA". It matches the Rfam family "Bacterial small subunit ribosomal RNA", at positions 60 to 735 of the family's 1533-position model. The record is from RNAcentral. Lineage: Bacteria; Bacillati; Bacillota; Clostridia; Lachnospirales; Lachnospiraceae.
AGUCGAGCGAAGCAGUUAAGUUGAUUUCUUCGGAUUGAUUCUUAACUGACUGAGCGGCGGACGGGUGAGUAACGCGUGGGUGACCUGUCCCAUACCGGGGGAUAACAGCUGGAAAUGGCUGCUAAUACCGCAUAAGCGCACAGAGCUGCAUGGCUCGGUGUGAAAAACUCCGGUGGUAUGGGAUGGGCCCGCGUCUGAUUAGGCAGUUGGCGGGGUAACGGCCCACCAAACCGACGAUCAGUAGCCGGCCUGAGAGGGCGACCGGCCACAUUGGGACUGAGACACGGCCCAAACUCCUACGGGAGGCAGCAGUGGGGAAUAUUGCACAAUGGGGGAAACCCUGAUGCAGCGACGCCGCGUGAGCGAAGAAGUAUUUCGGUAUGUAAAGCUCUAUCAGCAGGGAAGAUAAUGACGGUACCUGACUAAGAAGCCCCGGCUAACUACGUGCCAGCAGCCGCGGUAAUACGUAGGGGGCAAGCGUUAUCCGGAUUUACUGGGUGUAAAGGGAGCGUAGACGGCAAGGCAAGUCUGAUGUGAAAACCCAGGGCUUAACCCUGGGACUGCAUUGGAAACUGUCUGGCUUGAGUGCCGGAGAGGUAAGCGGAAUUCCUAGUGUAGCGGUGAAAUGCGUAGAUAUUAGGAAGAACACCAGUGGCGAAGGCGGCUUACUGGACG